AGCGAACGUUUGCGGCGGGCUUAACACAUGCAAGUCGAACGAGAAUCCCUUCGGGGAGGAAAGUGGCGCACGGGUGCGUAACACGUGGAUAACCAACCCAUUGGUUUGGGACAACACCGGGAAACUGGUGCUAAUACCAGAUGUGUCGCAGCUGUCUUCAGGCGGUUGCGAGAAAGGCCCGCAAGGGUCGCCAACGGACGGGUCCGCGUCCCAUCAGCUAGUUGGUGAGGUAAUGGCUCACCAAGGCAAAGACGGGUAGCUGGUCUGAGAGGAUGAUCAGCCACACUGGAACUGAGACACGGUCCAGACUCCUACGGAGGCAGCAGUGGGGAAUAUUGCGCAAUGGGCGAAAGGCCUGACGCAGCCACGCCGCGUGAGCGAUGAAGGUCUUCGGAUCGUAAAGCUCUGUGGGGGAGAAGAAGAAAGCCGGUGAAGAGCCGGCCCUGACGGUAUCCCCUUAGCAAGCACCGGCUAACUCCGUGCCAGC
RNAcentral lists this ribosomal RNA (487 nucleotides) under uncultured bacterium. Its description in RNAcentral is "bacterial SSU rRNA". It matches the Rfam family "Bacterial small subunit ribosomal RNA", at positions 29 to 512 of the family's 1533-position model. The record is from RNAcentral.